AGGGCGCAGGGCGAAUGCCUUGGCACUGGGAGCCGAUGAAAGACGUGAUAAGCUGCGAUAAGCUUCGGGGAGCUGCAAAUAAGCAUUGAUCCGGAGAUUUCUGAAUGAGGAAACUCACCUGGGUUCAUACUCAGGUACGUUGUACUGAAAUUCAAAAUAGGUACAUCGGGGGAACCGCCUGAACUGAAACAUCUAAGUAGGGCGAGGAAGAGACAUCAAACGAGAUUCCGUAAGUAGUGGCGAGCGAACGCGGAAGAGGGCAAACCGAAGGUAGAAAUACCUUCGGGGUACGGACUGCUUUUAGGACUCAAUCUGUUAACCGAACGGCAUGGGAAGGCCGGUCAGAGAGUGUGAGAACCACGUAGGUGAAAACGACAAGAGCUGAGCGAGUUCCAGAGUACGGCCAGACACGUGAAACCUGGUCGGAAUACGGGGGGACCACCCUCCAACCCUAAAUACUACCCAGUGACCGAUAGCGUAUAGUACUGUGAAGGAAAGGUGAAAAGCACCCCGGGAGGGGAGUGAAAAAGAACCUGAAACCCUGUGCCUACAAGCACCUAGAGCACGUCAAAGUGUGAUAGGGUACUUUUUGUAGAACGGUCCGGCGAGCGAUUGUAUGCAGCAAGGUUAAGGACUUAAGGUCUGGAGCCGAAGCGAAAGCGAGUUUGAAAAGGGCGUUAAGUUGCAUAUAAUGGGCCCGAAACCGGGUGACCUACCCAUGGUCAGGUUGAAGUGGAAGUAAAAUUCCAUGGAGGACCGAACCGACCUCCGUUGAAAAGGCGGCGGAUGAACUGUGGGUAGCGGAGAAAUUCCAAUCGAACCCGGAGAUAGCUGGUUCUCCCCGAAAUAGUUUUAGGACUAGCCUCAAGUUAGAUACCUGGAGGUAAAGCACUGAAUAGCCUAGCGGCCGAGAGGUUAGCGAAGCUUAUCAAACUCAGAAUGCCAGAGUAUUGAUGCUUGGGAGUCAGACAGUGUCAGAUAAAUGUCAUUGUCAAAAGGGAAACAGCCCAGAUCUACAGCUAAGGUCCCAAAGUCAGGUUAAGUGGAAAACGAUGUGAAGAUACGUAGACAACCAGGAUGUUGGCUCAGAAGCAGCCACACAUUCAAAGAGUGCGUAAUAGCUCACUGGUCGAGCGUCUUUGCGCGGAGAAUUUAACGGGGCUAAACCUGACACCGAAGCUUAGGCAAUGUACUUUGUACAUUGGGUAGGGGAGCGUUGUAUACGCGGAGAAACAGUAGCGUAAGCGGCUGUGGAGUGUAUAGAAGUGAGAAUGCCGGAAUGAGUAGCGCGAAUGCAGUGAGAAUCUGCAUGGCCGAAAGCCUCAGGUUUUUGGAGGAAGGUUCGUCCGCUCCAAGUUAGUCGGGAGCUAAGGUGAGGCCGGAAGGCGUAGCCGAUGCACAGACGGUAGAGAUUCCGUCACCACCAAAAGAGUUAAGCACAGGGACACAUUUGAAGUCUCAGAGCCGGGUGUUGGUUCCGGUAGAGAUCGAGGGAAGUUAGUACCGAAGUCUGAGAUGGAAGAUGGCGAGAAAAGCUGUGUGUAUUUCUGAGGUGCCCGUACCGCAAACCGACACAGGUAGGUAGGAAGAAGAUUCUAAGGCCAACGGGAGAAGGGUUGUUAAGGAACUCGGCAAAUUGACCCCGUAACUUCGGGAGAAGGGGUGCUCCAGAGAUGGAGCCGCAGAGAAUCGGCCCAAGCAACUGUUUACCAAAAACACAGGUUUGUGCUAAAUCGAAAGAUGACGUAUACGAGCUGACGCCUGCCCGGUGCUGGAAGGUUAAGAGGAGAUGUGCAAGCAUUGAAUCGAAGCCCCAGUGAACGGCGGCCGUAACUAUAACGGUCCUAAGGUAGCGAAAUUCCUUGUCAGGUAAGUUCUGACCCGCACGAAUGGCGUAACGAUUUGGGCACUGUCUCAACAGCCCGCCCGGCGAAAUUGUAGUACCGGUGAAGAUGCCGGUUUCCCGCGACAAGACGGAAAGACCCCAUGGAGCUUUACUGUAGCCUAAUAUUGGGUUUCGAUGUUGCAUGCACAGGAUAGAUGGGACACAGGGAAACAAUCGCUUUGGCGGUUGCGGAGUGGCCGUUGGGAUACCAUCCUUGCGAUAUUGGAAUUCUAACCUGCGGCUCUGAAUCGAGUCGGGGGACAUUGUUAGGUGGGCAGUUUGACUGGGGCGGUCGCCUCCUAAAAAGUAACGGAGGCG
This 2203-nucleotide ribosomal RNA is filed under the name human gut metagenome. RNAcentral describes it as "bacterial LSU rRNA". It matches the Rfam family "Bacterial large subunit ribosomal RNA", at positions 14 to 2308 of the family's 2925-position model. The record is from RNAcentral.